Molecule: ribosomal RNA, 504 nt
Filed under: uncultured bacterium
Lineage: Bacteria
Description: partial 16S ribosomal RNA
Rfam family: Bacterial small subunit ribosomal RNA
Source: RNAcentral
AUUGAACGCUGGCGGCAGGCCUAACACAUGCAAGUCGAGCGGUAACACAGGGAGCUUGCUCCUGGGUGACGAGCGGCGGACGGGUGAGUAAUGUCUGGGAAGCUGCCUGAUGGAGGGGGAUAACUACUGGAAACGGUAGCUAAUACCGCAUAAUGUCGCAAGACCAAAGAGGGGGACCUUCGGGCCUCUUGCCAUUAGAUGUGCCCAGAUGGGAUUAGCUAGUAGGUGGGGUAACGGCUCACCUAGGCGACGAUCCCUAGCUGGUCUGAGAGGAUGACCAGCCACACUGGAACUGAGACACGGUCCAGACUCCUACGGGAGGCAGCAGUGGGGAAUAUUGCACAAUGGGCGCAAGCCUGAUGCAGCCAUGCCGCGUGUAUGAAGAAGGCCUUCGGGUUGUAAAGUACUUUCAGCGGGGAGGAAGGUGUUGAGGUUAUUAACCUCAGCAAUUGACGUUACCCGCAGAAGAAGCACCGGCUAACUCCGUGCCAGCAGCCGCGGUAA